Molecule: microRNA precursor, 130 nt
Filed under: Marmota monax (woodchuck)
Lineage: Eukaryota; Metazoa; Chordata; Mammalia; Rodentia; Sciuridae
Source: RNAcentral
AUCAGAAUCACCUAGAGUUCUUGUUAAAACACAGAUUGCUGGGCUCCACCCCUAGAAAUUCUGAUUCAACAGUGUAAUAGUGUGGGGUCUAAAAUUUUGCAUUUCUAGCAAGUUACCAGGUGAUAUUGAU